This is a non-coding RNA of Candidatus Entotheonella sp., 147 nucleotides long. NCBI's taxonomy places the organism in Bacteria, Pseudomonadati, Candidatus Tectimicrobiota, Candidatus Entotheonellia, Candidatus Entotheonellales, Candidatus Entotheonellaceae. The record is from Rfam.
CCCGCUGUCCCAUCAGCGGUAUCCUACGGAGAUGUGCAGGAAGGUAACGACCUGUACAGAGCCUCCGGACAAUGUACCCACAGUCUCAGACUGGCAUCGAAACCGUGAGGCCACGAUGUCUCUGUCAGCACCAAGACGGAGUUGGGG